Non-coding RNA from Callithrix jacchus (white-tufted-ear marmoset), 3602 nucleotides. The record is from RefSeq and is a predicted model, not a curated record. Lineage: Eukaryota; Metazoa; Chordata; Mammalia; Primates; Cebidae.
UCUGGGUUACAGGCGUGAGCCAAUGUGCCAAGCCUGUUUUUCUUUUUUUUCUUGAUGGGGGUAUGAGGUCUCACUCGUUACCCAGGCUGGAGUGCAGUGGCGUGAUUAUAGCUUGCUGCAGCCUCGACCUCCAGGAAUCAACAGAUCCUCCCACCUCAGCCUCUUGAAUAUCUCUGACAACAGAUGCACUCCACCUCACCUGGCUAAUUUUUUGUAGAGAUGGGGUUUUGCGUUGUUACACAGACUGGUCCUGAACUCCUGAACUCAAAUAAUCUCCUUAUCUUGGCUUCCCAAAGUGCUGAGUUACAGGCAUGAGCCACUGUGUCCAGUCGUCCAGUCAUUUCUAUCUCCUUCCUUUCCUUUCCUUGACUUCUUGCCUUCUUUCUCCUCCUCCUCCAUCUUCUUCCUCUUUCUUUCCUUCCUUCCUUCUUUCUUUCUCUCUGUCUCUCUCUCUCUCUCUCUCUCUCUUUCUUUCUUUUUUCCUUCUUUCUUUCUGAUAAGGUCUCACUCUUUUACACAGGCUGGAGUGCAGUGGUGUAAUCACGGCUUGCUAAAAGCUCAACCUCCGGGGCUCAAGUGAUCCUUACAUAUCAGCCUCUAGAAUAGCUGGGACCACAGGUGCAUACCACCAUGCCUGGUUAAUUUUUUGGAUUUUUGGUAGAGAUGAGGUUUUGCCAUGUAGCCCAAUUUCGUCUUGAACUCCUGAACUCAAGUGAUCUGUCCACCUCAGCCUCCCAAAGUGCUCGGUUAGAGACAUGAGUCACUAUGCACAGCCUUUUUCUUUUCCUUUAUUUCUUUUUAAAAUUAUUUUGAAAUUAGGUCUUGUUCUGUAACCCAGGCUGUUGUGCAGUGGCAUGAUCAUGGCUUGCUGCAGCCUCAACUGCCUUAGCUCAAGUGAUCCUUCCACAUCAACUUUUUGAAUAGCUGAGACCACAGGUGCAUGCCACCACGCCUGGCUAGUUUUUUGUAUUUAUGGUAGAGAUGGGGUUUUCCCAUGUUGCCCAGUCUGGUGUCAAACUUCUGAACUCAGUUGAUCUGCCUACCUCAGUCUCCCAAAAUGCUGGACUACAGGUGUGAGACACUGUGCCCAGCACUUUAUUCUUUUUUCUUUUUUUCUUGUGAGAUUAGGUGUCGUGUCGCUCUGUUGCCCAGGCUGCAGUGGCGUGGUCAUGGCUGGCUGUAGUCUCAACCUCCUGGGCUCAAGUGAUCCUCCCACUGCAGCCUGUUGAAUAGCUGAGACCACAGGUGCCCACCACCAUGCCUGGCUAAGUUUUUGCAUUUUUAAUAGACAUGGUGUUUUGUAUCUGUAAUAGAGAUGGGGUUUUAAUAGAUGGUGGUUUUGUGAUUAGGUCUUGCUCUGUUGAUUAAGAAGUUUGAGUCUGUGCACAGUCUGGUCUCAAACUUCUGAACUUAAGUGAUACACCCACCUUUGUCUCCCAAGUGCUAUGUAUGGGUGUGAGCCACUGUGCCCAGCCCCUCUCCUUCUCCUUCUUCUUUUUAAAUUCGAUCUCAUUCUUUUACCCAGGCUGGAGUGCAGUGGCAGGAUAAGGACUUGUUGCAGCCUCAACCUCCUGGGCUCAAGUGAUUCUCCCAUCUCAGCCGCUGGAAUAGCUGAGACCCCAGAAUAGGUCUUGCUCUGUAGCCCAUGAUGUUGAGCAGCAGCCUCAAACUUCUGGUCUCAAGUGAUCGUCUUACCUCAGCCUCCUGAACAGCUAAACCACAGGCUCCACCGCAGUGAGGAUCCCAGGGCCAGAAGCCUCUGCGGCUCCUCACACAGACAGUCGGCCGAGCUGCUACAGGAAAGCAGAAACCGACCAAUUGACCUCGAGGAUCCAGCGGCUGCUCAGCACCCAGCGACCGCACCCCGUCGCUCUGUGCAUCGGCCAGCUUGCCCACUACACCAAAGAAGGCUUCCUGCACCUGGGCACCCUCUGGACCACCACACUCCUCCCUGACACCCACUGCCUGGUGGACAACUCUAAGAGUCAGCUGCCCCAGCUCCUGGACUGCAACAAGGUCAAGAGCAGCCUGUACAAGUGCUGGAACUUCAUCCAGAAUGGAGCCAUCAUGAACAAGGGCACAGGGUGCUGCCUGGAGGUGGAGAACCAGGGCCCGGCUGGCAUCGACCUCAUCCUUCGCAGCUGCACUGGUCAGAGGUGGACCAUUAAGAACUCCAUCAAGUAGAGAGAGGAAGCUGGGGCACUGGAGCCUGGCCCCCAGGACCAGCCGACAUCUGGACCAGCCAUCCUGGCGGAGAGACAGCAAGGGGUUGGCAGGUGCUCGGCAGGCUCCCCAGAGCUCCCCCAGGGCAGCACGGGGACCCUAGAUGGAUACUCUGUCCCCCUCAGGCAUUCAGCUGCCACAGGGUUCCUGCACCCUGGAAAAGCCCCCGGCCCUUCUCUGAGAGACUGAGAGGUGUCUUCUACAGUCUCUGAUGUGGACCUGGUACUGAGGAGUGAGACUGUCCAGUUCUCCACCACAUCUGCUAUCCCUGAAUCAGGACCUGGGACCCGUAGAGUCCACUCCUGCAUCUUUUCUCCUGCAGCAGCAGCUGCUCAACUCCAGCCAUCAACACGGUGGGAGGCAGCGGGGGCUUCAGCCAUGUCCUAGCUCCUCACCCUCAAAGGAGGCAGCAAGGACUGGGCACUCAGUUUCCUCUGAGGUUGCUUCUGCCCAGAUGACACCUGCCUGUUCACACCCCAAGGCAGUCACUGCCCUCAACUCUUCCCACCAGGAUGGCUUUGGGCACUGCAGCUCUGGACUCUUCUAGCCCCUCCUGAGAUGACCUGGGUGGAGCUGAUGCUUUCUCCCCUGGUCACCUGGGCACUAGGCUCGUACAACGUGCUUGGGCCAGCUCUCCUGCCUCUGCCUAGAGGAAGCUGGAGACAGAUACAGGCUAAGCCUGCAGCAUGGUCUAAGCCAUGAGGGCCCUGCAGGUUGGAGCUGGGUCAAGGACCUGUGAGCCCUGAGUCACGGAGGCUGUCCCCAGGGAGCAGAAGGAACCCUUCAUCCAGAACCUAAGGGCUCGAAGAUGCUUUCAGCUCACCUCAUUUCACCCCAUGCUCUGCUGGCUGGCAGAGGAGAAGGCAGUCGUUUCCUCUCUGAAGAGUAAUAAUUUUUUUUCGACUGCCCUCUGGUUAGGGUGCACAUAUAAAUCAGAGUUAAUAUAUGAACACGUGUGCAUGCAUGAGUGUGUGUGUGCCUGUGUGCUGUGCAUGGCAGAGAGUGUGCGUGCAUGUCUGGCUGUGUGUUCCGGAGCGUGUGACGAUGCUGACCUAGCUGUGUGGCUCUGGGCUUGCUGCUUCAUUGCUCACCUGGACAGGAAUGAGGGAGAUGAGAAGAAUGAAUGGGGUGUGGGUUUAGCCCAUGUCACUGGCCAGAAGCAUGUGGCUCAGCUCUGCCCUGUGGAGGCCCCCGCAGAAGGCUGCCCCAUCUCCCAGUCCCCAUCUCUUGCCCCAACGCUGUUGCUGGUCAAGCACCACCUAGAGCUGAAUCCUGUAGCUUCCCCCUUGCCUGUGUGGGAUUCACAGAGACUCAUUUGGUGACAUCUUAUGGGUGAUCAUCUUCCACCUUGUGAAAUAAAUACAUGCUAGCACUUCCCA